Molecule: long non-coding RNA, 1247 nt
Filed under: Carassius auratus (goldfish)
Lineage: Eukaryota; Metazoa; Chordata; Actinopteri; Cypriniformes; Cyprinidae
Description: lncRNA (ENSCARG00000026915.1)
Source: RNAcentral
AUCUGCUUUAAAACACUUCAUAUAAUUAUAUAUUCAAAUAUAUAUUUCUCAUGUUUAUAUGCAAAAUUUUUUACAUGCAAAAUGUUGUAGGGAAUGUGAAAACAGUAUGCAGGUUUUGAAUGCAUUAUGAGAAUUAAUGCAUAAAGAUGUUUGUACCAGGACAGGCCUGCAGGAAACACGCUCGGCUGUCGAACUGAGCUCCGCCGCAGGAUCCACCCGGCCGGGCGUCUCUCAGGAUGCUCCUCUGACGGAAAAGUGACCCCAGACCACACGACACACUGCACUGACUCCAGGACGUCCAGGGAGACAGAACACAGUUGACUGCAGGACACAAACACACCUCUCAAUCCCACAAUGCACCUGACCUGAGCCCAUCUCACAGAGAAACAUCUGAGCGAUCUUCAUCGGAUCCGUCGGGACAGUCCUCACGGCCGUCACACACAAGAGCAGCUUCCACACACCCGAACGUCCUGCAGGCGAACUGUCCUUCCACACACACUAUUCUGGGCAAACCAUCAUCAGCGGAUGUAGAUGUAUACCAGAGUCCUGUAGGAAAUGAUCUCAGUAUUGUGAAAGCUUCAGUAUUGUUAUACACCAGUUCCUGCUGUGUCAAACACACACACACCUGUCGUGUUGAAGUAGGGUGUAGGAGUCAGAAUGUGAACGCCCGGUUCUCCCGUCGGACUGACAGCAGGUGGCGCUGUUGUGACGUGUGUGGGAGGAGCCACUCCUGGGCUGCCGUCCUGUGGACUCUUGGUGUGAAGUCCUGGACGUCCAGAGGUGUAGUUAAAGUGACCAGGACGUCCCGUUGGGCCGGUGGGGGUCUGUAAUCCUGGUAAACCUGGUGGAGCUGUGGUCACUUCACUACUGGGUGUGACCAACUCAUCUGAUCAGAACGAUGAAAAUAAUAACUCUGUUAGGUUGAUAUAAUAGAUAAUAUUACAUGCGCUACACAUUGCAUCAUAUAUUACACUUAUAGAAAAUGCUAAAAAAAAAAAGGCUAGGACCAUUAACACUGAUUGCAAUUUAUUAAUUACAUUUUUUCAACUCAUUACACACAUUUUCAAAACUUUACACACAACUCUAAGAACUGCACACAUUAAUUAGUGUUUGAUUAGUGUGUGGUUCUGGGCUUUAGUGUCAGGUUUAAAAAAUUGUGUGACAAGUAAUGAUUUUGUAAGCAGUUGAAAAAAAUUAAUGCAUAGAUCAUAGAAUGAAUUAAUAUUGCUAUUAUUUAUUUAACAUAU